UGAGGAAUAUUGGUCAAUGGGCGCGAGCCUGAACCAGCCAAGUAGCGUGCAGGAAGACGGCCCUAUGGGUUGUAAACUGCUUUUAUGCGGGGAUAAAGGAGUCCACGUGUGGAUUUUUGCAGGUACCGCAUGAAUAAGGACCGGCUAAUUCCGUGCCAGCAGCCGCGGUAAUACGUAGGUCCCGAGCGUUGUCCGGAUUUAUUGGGCGUAAAGCGAGCGCAGGCGGUUAGAAAAGUCUGAAGUGAAAGGCAGUGGCUCAACCAUUGUAGGCUUUGGAAACUGUUUAACUUGAGUGCAGAAGGGGAGAGUGGAAUUCCAUGUGUAGCGGUGAAAUGCGUAGAUAUAUGGAGGAACACCGGUGGCGAAAGCGGCUCUCUGGUCUGUAACUGACGCUGAGGCUCGAAAGCGUGGGGAGCGAACAGG
Molecule: ribosomal RNA, 423 nt
Filed under: Verrucomicrobiota bacterium
Lineage: Bacteria; Pseudomonadati; Verrucomicrobiota
Description: Verrucomicrobia bacterium partial 16S ribosomal RNA
Rfam family: Bacterial small subunit ribosomal RNA
Source: RNAcentral